RNAcentral lists this ribosomal RNA (397 nucleotides) under uncultured bacterium. RNAcentral's name for it is "partial 16S ribosomal RNA". It matches the Rfam family "Bacterial small subunit ribosomal RNA", at positions 523 to 918 of the family's 1533-position model. The record is from RNAcentral.
AUACGUAGGUGACAAGCGUUAUCCGGAUUUACUGGGCGUAAAGGGCGUGUUGGCGGUCUUGCAAGUCAGCAGUGAAAUUCCUGAGCUCAACUCGGGCGCUGCUUCUGAAACUGCAGGACUUGAGUGCUGGAGGGGAUAGCGGAAUUCCUAGUGGAGCGGUAAAAUGCGCAGAUAUUAGGAAGAACACCGGUGGCGAAGGCGGCUAUCUGGACAGUAACUGACGCUGAGGCGCGAAAGCGUGGGGAGCAAACAGGAUUAGAUACCCUGGUAGUCCACGCAGUAAACGAUGAAUACUAGGUGUAGGGGGUAUCGACUCCCUCUGUGCCGCAGUUAACACAAUAAGUAUUCCGCCUGGGGAGUACGGCCGCAAGGUUGAAACUUAAAGGAAUUGACGGGG